GCUGUUUGAGCUUGGCUUGCGGCUAUCACCACAAAUCCAAACCCUCGCCGUUUACCUGUUCGUUUGUCUUUCAUUAAACGCACCGCAAAGACCUCGCCAAACUCGGCGAACAGCUCUUUAACGUGCGAUUCAUUGGCUUUAUAGGGCAGAUUGCCCACAUAGAGUGUUUUCGUGGUGGAAGACGCCUCUUCAUCUUCGCUUGAUGAAAGAGUGGGGUGAGUAGAAAGUUUGCAAAUUAAAGCCGUUGCAACCACACCAAUUAGAAAAGCGAAAGAAGAGUGUAGAGUCAAUUGCGAUAAAAUCCCGGCACCAAUAACGGCAAGCAGGGCAAUCCAUAACAUCGAUUUGUCAGAUUUCAUAUUGAAUUACUACGCAUCAGAGAGAAAGAAGAUUCACGGUCUAUCGAUGAAUUAACAAAAUAGACACAGGAAUCUUACGUAUAUGCUUGAUAUUUUUCCAAUCGAAUGGUGUGACCCCCCUCAAAUGUUGAAAUUUUAUUCGAAAAACAUUCCAUUGUUGUCUUUUUGAGCGAACGAUUUUAUUUGUCAAAAAAAAGCUUGUCAUAAAACUCUGUCUCCCUAUAAUGCGCCCUCACUGACACGGCGUGAGAUUCAAAUCACAAAGUGAAAGCAAAAGAGAAGAAAAAGUUAGAAAAUAACGUUUGACACUCAACUGAAUAAGCGUAAUAUACGCAGCCCUAGCGAAUUGAGCUUAAAAGCGAUUUCGAUAGGAAAAGCUCUUUAACAAUAUAAACCAAUCAAUCUGUGUGGGCACUCGUUGAUGAUAAUCAAAAAAGAUU
RNAcentral lists this ribosomal RNA (799 nucleotides) under Vibrio cholerae HC-77A1. Its description in RNAcentral is "partial 16S ribosomal RNA". Lineage: Bacteria; Pseudomonadati; Pseudomonadota; Gammaproteobacteria; Vibrionales; Vibrionaceae. The record is from RNAcentral.